CAUGCAGAAAUGCAUGUUCUCUUCGGAGCACUGGAGACAGGUGGUGCAUGGUUGUCGUCAGCUCGUGUCGUGAGAUGUUGGGUUAAGUCCCGCAACGAGCGCAACCCUUAUCCUUAGUAGCCAGCAGGGAAAGCUGGGCACUCUAGGGAGACUGCCAGGGAUAACCUGGAGGAAGGUGGGGAUGACGUCAAAUCAUCAUGCCCCUUAUGAUUUGGGCUACACACGUGCUACAAUGGCGUAAACAAAGGGAAGCGAAGUGGCGACAUGGAGCGAACCCCAAAAAUAACGUCUCAGUUCGGAUUGCAGGCUGCAACCCGCCUGCAUGAAGCCGGAAUCGCUAGUAAUCGCAGAUCAGAAUGCUGCGGUGAAUACGUUCCCGGGUCUUGUACACACCGCCCGUCACACCAUGGGAGCCGAUAACGCCCGAAGUCAGUGACCCAACCGAAAGGAGGGAGCUGCCGAAGGCGGGAUGGAUAACUGGGGUGAAGUCGUAACAAGGUAGCCGUAUCGGAAGG
This 515-nucleotide ribosomal RNA is filed under the name uncultured bacterium. Its description in RNAcentral is "bacterial SSU rRNA". It matches the Rfam family "Bacterial small subunit ribosomal RNA", at positions 997 to 1512 of the family's 1533-position model. The record is from RNAcentral.